CUGCCCUGUAGACUGGGAUAACUUCGGGAAACCGAAGCUAAUACCGGAUAAUCUUUAGCAUCACAUGGUGCAAAAGUAAAAGUUGGGUUUUACCUAACACUACAGGAUGGGCCCGCGGCGCAUUAGCUAGUUGGUAAGGUAACGGCUUACCAAGGCGACGAUGCGUAGCCGACCUGAGAGGGUGAUCGGCCACACUGGGACUGAGACACGGCCCAGACUCCUACGGGAGGCAGCAGUAGGGAAUCUUCCGCAAUGGACGAAAGUCUGACGGAGCAACGCCGCGUGAACGAUGAAGGCCUUCGGGUCGUAAAGUUCUGUUGUUAGGGAAGAACAAGUACCGUUCGAAUAGGGCGGUACCUUGACGGUACCUAACCAGAAAGCCACGGCUAACUACGUGCCAGCAGCCGCGGUAAUACGUAGGUGGCAAGCGUUGUCCGGAAUUAUUGGGCGUAAAGCGCGCGCAGGCGGUCUCUUAAGUCUGAUGUGAAAGCCCACGGCUCAACCGUGGAGGGUCAUUGGAAACUGGGAGACUUGAGUGCAGAAGAGGAGAGUGGAAUUCCAUGUGUAGCGGUGAAAUGCGUAGAUAUAUGGAGGAACACCAGUGGCGAAGGCGACUCUCUGGUCUGUAACUGACGCUGANGCGCGAAAGCGUGGGGGA
RNAcentral lists this ribosomal RNA (658 nucleotides) under uncultured bacterium. Its description in RNAcentral is "bacterial SSU rRNA". It matches the Rfam family "Bacterial small subunit ribosomal RNA", at positions 126 to 768 of the family's 1533-position model. The record is from RNAcentral.